This is a non-coding RNA of Oryctolagus cuniculus (rabbit), 2564 nucleotides long. The record is from RefSeq and is a predicted model, not a curated record. NCBI's taxonomy places the organism in Eukaryota, Metazoa, Chordata, Mammalia, Lagomorpha, Leporidae.
GUACUCAAACAGUAUAUUUCACUUUGUGUUUCUAUGGGGGUGCAAACGAUUGAAAUCUUUACUUAAUGUACACUAAACUGAUCUUCUGUAAAAAAAAAAAAAAAGAAAAAGAAAUUAUCAAUUCCCAACUUGACUCUCACUGGGAUUAAACAUGACAAUAGGUCUGAUCUGAUUUCAUCAUCAUUUAAAAAAAAUCAUCUAUUAUUUUUCACUUUAUGUUUCUGUGUGGGAGCAAACUGUUGAAAUCCUUACUUAAGGUAUACUAAGCUGAUCCACUGUUAAUUUUAAUAGAAAAAUAUUUUCAGGUAACUUUAUACUCAAAAUAGUCACUAUUCACUAAGUAAAAAGUUCAACAAAUAGUAUGAAGAAAAUAAAUUGUUUCUCAAAGUGAGACAAGGCUUGUAAAAAAAAGCAUCAUAUCUCAAAAUACUCAUUUUAUUCCUACACAUUAUUACCUGUUAAAUACUCUAUUAGUCACCGCAGAUCAGGGACAACAUGUGGUAUUUGUCUUUUGGGGACUAGCUUAUUUCACUAAGUAUAAUGUUUUCUAGUUAUAUCCAUUUUGUUGCAAAAGACUUCAUUGCAUUUUUUCCUGCUGAAUAGUAUUCCAUAGUGUAUAUAUACCAUAGUUACUUUUUUCAAGAUUCAUUUUUCUGAGAGGCAGAGUUGAGAGAGGGAGAGACAGAGAACGAGAGAUCUUCCAUCUGAGAAUGAGAGGUCUUCCUUCUGGUUCACUCUCUAAAUGGAUGCAAUGGCUAGAACUGGGCUGAUGCAAAGCCAGGAGCCAGGAGCUUCUUUUGGGUCUCCCACGCAGGUGCAAGGGCCCAAGGACUUGGGCCAUCUUCCACUGUUUUCCUAGGCCUUCAUCAGGGAGGAUCCAGGCUUCGAACAGGAACACCUAUGGGAUGCUGGUGCAGCAAGUAGGAGGCUUAACCCACUUUGUGCUGGCCUCCAUAAUUUCUUUAUCUAAUCAUCAUUUGAUAGACAUCUGGAUUGAUUCCAUAUCUUAGCUGUUGUGAAUUGAGCAGCCAUAAACGUGGGUACAGAUAACUCUUUCAUCUGCUGAUUUCAAUUUGUUUAGGUAAAUUCCCAUGAGUGGCAUUGCUGGUUCAUAUGAUUCAUCUAUUUUCAGCCUUUUGAGGUGUCUCCAUACUGUCUUCCACAAUGGCUUCACCAGAUGACAUUCCCAGUGGAUUAGGAAAACGUUUCUUACCUGGAGCACAUCGGAGAUCAACACAGUCUUAGCCCGGAGCCAAGACUGCUGUCACCCACGUUUUUGACGCUGCCUGGCAGCUUCCGGUGCUGCUGUGCUUACUGGGAGGAAGAGGCGGGUCCUAGAUGGCUGGCGCUUGCGCAGUCGGCCUGGUGGAGAGCAAGACGGUAUUAUCUGCUGGUGGCGGCAUGUCGUCGGCUGCCGGAAUUCUCGGCUGAUGGCGGCGUUUUCGGCAGCUGUACUGGCCCAGAGAGUGCGGGAGUGAAGGCUGGCGGCCGUGGGGGCAGGCGGCGGCUCAGCUGUGGGAAGCGGAGAAGCGGGUGGCUGGGCUUGCGCUGGAGGACAGGACUGCGGGUUACAAGACAUUUUCAUGGAUAUGAAAUUGGACACAGAGUUGACACGGAAGUUCAGCUGCUGGGUAAUCUUCCAUUUCUGGGGACUGCUCUGCUUUCUUGUAAAACCCAGCUGUGCCUUCACCCUGGACAGGAGCAACUGGUUAGUAGUACAUGUGGCUGUGUCCUGUUGAUGGCAGCCCUUGGGCCCAAGGAGGAGAGAAGGGAAGGGAAGGGAACCCUGUGCCCUGGGGUUGGGCUGCCAGGCUGACAGCAAAGUGGACUUCCAGACUUUGUGAAGGAAGGUCAAGUGGUGGGAGCCCUAUAUACAUGUGGAGACAGAAAUGUGGGGGUCUAGUGUUCCUAGAAUAGAGGAACCACAGAGACAGAGUUGAAUAAGAUAUUGGCGAAUGAUUUCCCUGGGGCUUUGCCGAGAAUUGUGGGGCAAAGAACAUGCUAAGAAGGGAAGAAUGGUUGUCCAGGCAGUGGGAGGGGAAUCUGGGAGGAAAACUGUCAAAUGUUUAAUCAGAGGAAAAACAUAAGAGUCUGGUUUGGAGAGAUGUGGUAAUAGUUGUUUGGGUUUUAGAUUUUCAGGCUAAGGACGAUGGGAUUGCAAGUACUUCAUGCAGUGGGAGUGGAGGGUUAGAUGCCAUGGAAGAACCUGGGGCGUGCAAGGUUUUGGGAGCUGAAAACAGUUUGUGUCUGUAUGUCACCAUCCUAUGAUAGAAAAAGGAAAAUGGAAGGAUUGUGGGGAGGAAGGCAGGCAACUUUGAGGAGAGUUGUAAUAGGGAAGAGCUGUAAUAGGUCUGCUUGUAAGAACUAGUGGAGUAUCAGAGUGUGAGGUCCAGGAUAGGCCCUGGGGAGAAACCUUACGAAAAGUGAGGGAAGGGAUAUCAGGAGGCGGGCAGAGGGAACUUUCAGGAGGGACUGGGGAAUGGGUGCUGAGUUAAUCAGGAAAUUUGACCAAAGUGUGCAGACUACCAAGAGAUGGAGAAGAUGUUAUCUGAAAGAAAACUGGG